GAUCUCCCCCAAAUCUUGCAGUUUGGGCCCCAGAUCUUGCAACAUGGACUGCUUCCAUGGUUCUGAGCGAGGUCCCUCCCAGGUAAGGAGAUAAUCCCCCUCCUCUCAUUGCUAGUUUUAGGUCAGGUUUGGGAAGAAUCAGCUGCGAACGAAAAGGAACAAUUAGGCUACGAACUAAAUGAUAUGUGCCCUUCUUUUUUUUCCAUAUUCGAUAGGAUUGAUCCCGAUGUCGCGUUUAGCAUGUGUGUUCAGAUUCGUUCGUUCAUAUCCAAGUUGGAUGACGGCACUUGUGUUGUUGUGUCGUGCAAAUAUGAUGAAUGUAUUUUAGACUAUCGCUGUUGUAGCUUGGAGACUAUGGGAAAUGACUUGGCAGCAAGGGUGAAGUGGGGAAGCUGCCAACAGCCUGUGGUGUGGGGAUAUGACAAGAGCACCAGUGAGGUUCAGGGGUUAUUGCACAACUGAGUGUUGUCCAUGGGCUAUUGUGGCAAGGUUGAUGCAUGAUGAAAAAUCUGUCAGAAUACUAACUGCUAACUUUGCAUAUUUAUGUAACUUGUCAACUUUAUGUUACUAACCAAUAUCUCUCACCAUGCAAAUUCAAAAGCUAAACCUUGAUUGGAAAAAGCAUCAUAAUCUGCUUUGGAUGAGAUGCAAAUUCUCAGAAGAAAUAAAGUGCGACUAUAUUACUAACAAUCUUGCAAAGUGUUGGAACAAAUAGGUAAAAGAUAUUAAGGAUCUUCCAAUUGCUGAGUUUGCAGACACCCUGGGGUAAAAAACAAUGGAACUCUAUGCAAAGAGGAGAAAAAUAGGUGAGAGACUUGAAGGUGAUAUGCUCCCUAUUGUAACUCGUCAACUCAAUGCAAUGAUUAGGUGCUUGGGACACUAGAAGGUCAAAGAAUGUGGUAGGGAUCAAGCAGAGGUAACUGAAAUCACUGCUGACCAUGAUAUUAUUAGGCAUGUAGUGUAUCUUAAGAACCAUACAUGCACCUGCAGAGAAUGGCAAGUUUCUGAGAAACCAUACCCACAUGUACUGGCACUGAUAAUAACAUGUAGAAACCCUAAGAGGGAUGAAUAUCUGCAUCCUUAUUAUUCAGUGUACAAAUAUAGGUUAGCAUAUGCAGGUGUUAUUCAACCAUUAACAAACAAGUCUCAAUGGGCCAAUGUAGAACUCGGUUUUAAGUUGUUGCCACCUCUGGUAAAGAGAUCAGUAGGGAGCAAAAGGAAAAACAUGAUACCUGGGUGUCUGGAGAAAGGAAAGGGCAAGCCUAUGACCAAAGGGAAGUGGCAGGUGUAGUGUAAGAGAUGUUUAGCUCUUGGGCAUGGACAAACAUCCUCGAAGUGCCCUUUCAAUGGAGCAAAGAAAAGAAAGAGUCUUGCCAAGCAAGGAAGACCACUUGGUUCAACCAUGGAUGCUGCUGGUACUAGCACACCCAAAAGACAGAAGGUGGCCAAUCAAAAUGAUUCAAGCACCUAGUCUUGUGCGUAUCACAAGAAGGUAAUUGGCAUUGAGCAUGGCUGAAGGACAAGGCACAAGUU
Molecule: long non-coding RNA, 1533 nt
Organism: Phragmites australis (common reed)
Lineage: Eukaryota; Viridiplantae; Streptophyta; Magnoliopsida; Poales; Poaceae
Exons: 3
Source: RefSeq, a predicted model, not a curated record